UUACGGCUCAGUAACACGUGGAUAACCUACCCUUAGGUUUGGGAUAACCCCGGGAAACUGGGGAUAAUAUCAGAUAGAUCAUAGACGCUGGAAUGCCCUAUGGUCCAAAGCUCAGGCGCCUAAGGAUGGGUCUGCGGCCUAUCAGGUUGUAGUGGGUGUAACGUACCUACUAGCCGACGACGGGUACGGGUUGUGAGAGCAAGAGCCCGGAGAUGGAUUCUGAGACACGAAUCCAGGCCCUACGGGGCGCAGCAGGCGCGAAAACUUUACAAUGCACGAAAGUGCGAUGAGGGGACCCCGAGUGUUGGUGCCUAGCAUCAACUGUCCAACUGUCUAAAAAACAGUUAUUAGCAAGAGCCGGGUAAGACCGGUGCCAGCCGCCGCGGUAACACCGGCGGCUCGAGUGGUGAUCACUAUUAUUGGGUCUAAAGGGUUCGUAGCCGGCUUAAUAAGUUCUUUGGGAAAUCUGGCGGCUUAACCGUCAGGCUGCCGAGGGAUACUGUUAGGCUUGAGACCGGGAGGGGCUAGAGGUACUUCAGGGGUAGGGGUGAAAUCCUGUGAUCCCUGUGAGACCACCAGUGGCGAAGGCGUCUAGCUAGAACGGGUCUGACGGUGAUGAACGAAAGCUAGGGGCACGAACCGGAUUAGAUACCCGGGUAGUCCUAGCCGUAAACGAUGCAAGCUAGGUGUCACAGUAGCUGCGAGCUACUGUGGUGCCGUAGGGUAGCCAUGAAGCUUGCCACCUGGGAAGUAUGGCCGCAAGGCUGAAACUUAAAGGAAUUGGCGGGGGAGCACAA
Molecule: ribosomal RNA, 797 nt
Filed under: uncultured Methanosarcinales archaeon
Lineage: Archaea; Methanobacteriati; Methanobacteriota; Methanomicrobia; Methanosarcinales
Description: bacterial SSU rRNA
Rfam family: Archaeal small subunit ribosomal RNA
Source: RNAcentral